Molecule: long non-coding RNA, 261 nt
Filed under: Sorghum bicolor (sorghum)
Lineage: Eukaryota; Viridiplantae; Streptophyta; Magnoliopsida; Poales; Poaceae
Description: long non-coding RNA (SBIC_LNC014568)
Source: RNAcentral
CAUUAGUAGUUGCAUCUUUAUUGGUUAUGCAUUAGAAAAUAAAAUAAAUAUGUAUUGCAUUGCACUUAGAAAACUACUAAGCUCCAUGUAUUUAAUAUGUGAUGCAUCAGCUUACAUACUUAUCUACUGUGGUGACACAAAAAUAAGUUUUAGCAUAUUUAUUUUCCUGUCUGCAUACUAUAAAUAUGAAAAGUAAAAAAAUAUUGAUCCUGCUAAAAGAUAAAUGGGUAUAAGAAAGUUCUAGAUAUGUUAACAUCCAGC